UUGAUUAGGGAACGUCGGUCUACCGAGCAAUAUCACCCGCUCGGUGGAAGAUUUUUUCUCCGUCGU
Non-coding RNA from Bombyx mori (domestic silkworm), 66 nucleotides. Lineage: Eukaryota; Metazoa; Arthropoda; Insecta; Lepidoptera; Bombycidae. The record is from Rfam.